Molecule: long non-coding RNA, 235 nt
Filed under: Mytilus galloprovincialis (Mediterranean mussel)
Lineage: Eukaryota; Metazoa; Mollusca; Bivalvia; Mytilida; Mytilidae
Source: RNAcentral
GUGUUUAGGGGACGAGCCUGGGAUUGGCUAUUAUGGUACCCAGUCCAGGCACUAAUGGAUGGAGAAGGGAAAAAGAGGAUCCCUUUGAAAAACACUAUUUCUGAGGCCUCAUCAUUUUAACAGAAGCUUGUACAUUGUGGAUGUAAGAAAGGAUGCGGCGGUCAUUGUUAAUGUGGACAAUCGUGUCUCCGGGGCACUGCCUUGUGUGCACGUGGUGGUGACUGUGAAUAAACAU